Molecule: ribosomal RNA, 392 nt
Filed under: uncultured bacterium
Lineage: Bacteria
Description: bacterial SSU rRNA
Rfam family: Bacterial small subunit ribosomal RNA
Source: RNAcentral
AUUGAACGCUGGCGGCAUGCCUUACACAUGCAAGUCGAACGGCAGCACGGGAGCCAUCCUGGUGGCGAGUGGCGAACGGGUGAGUAAUGUAUCGGAACGUACCUUUCAGCGGGGGAUAACGUAGCGAAAGUUACGCUAAUACCGCAUAUUCUGUGAGCAGGAAAGCAGGGGAUCGCAAGACCUUGCGCUGAUUGAGCGGCCGAUAUCAGAUUAGCUAGUUGGUGAGGUAAAGGCUCACCAAGGCGACGAUCUGUAGCGGGUCUGAGAGGAUGAUCCGCCACACUGGAACUGAGACACGGUCCAGACUCCUACGGGAGGCAGCAGUGGGGAAUUUUGGACAAUGGGCGCAAGCCUGAUCCAGCCAUGCCGCGUGAGUGAAGAAGGCCUCGGUU